Lathyrus oleraceus (garden pea) is the source of this 989-nucleotide long non-coding RNA. RefSeq lists it as uncharacterized. The record is from RefSeq and is a predicted model, not a curated record. Lineage: Eukaryota; Viridiplantae; Streptophyta; Magnoliopsida; Fabales; Fabaceae. The transcript has 4 exons.
CGAGUCAAUCCCUUUCUGCAGCUAAGACGCGAUGAAACGGAACUGCGAAGAGGAUAAACGAAAAGGAAACGCGCUUAUGUGCCAAUACAAAAGCACUUAUACAAAUAAUCUCAAAGCAGCAAUCACAAUGGUAUCACAUUUUGAAACACCAACAUCAUCGCGUUGGCAUUGGAGCAACGCCGCGUAUGUCAUCAAUCAGCUUCACGUUCUUUAUCAUCUUCACAUUUGAUACAGGUCGAAGCGAGAAAAGAGGAAAAGCGAAAAUGCAAAAGUGCUUAUCAAUACAUACCGGAAGACAAUCGAGAUACUUGAUUUCAUGUUUGCCAAUCGAUGCGGAUGAUAAUCACUUAUUGAAUCAAUCCGCGCCAGGAACGCCGUAACUCCGCGAAUCGAUCCCAACUUCAAAGUUGCCGCUGCCGUUGCGUCGCGGUUGAAAUGUUAUAGGUUACCGAUCACGGAUUGGUGACGUCACGAAGGUUGAGCUCCAACUCGCCGAAGAUGAAUUCACGUUGCAGAAAGUGAAGCUCCAGGUCAAAUGGCCGAAUGUGUAUUCAGGUUGCAGAAGAAGAAGAAUUCAAGUUGCAGAGUGGUGAGGUUCGUGUUUGAAGAUGAUGAUUGAAUAAUAUUGAAGAAGGUUUGAGGGAGAGUGGAGAAGAUGAAGGUUGAAGAUUGAAAAAGAUUGAAGAUUGGAGAAGAUUAAAGAAAAAAUCGAAGAAAUGAUUGAAGGUUUGGUGUUGAUCUCGCUGUAAAAGGGGCCUGCGACAAGGUGAUGCUUGAUGGAGUGAAGCCAGGACUGGUGUGCCACUGUCGUCACUGCAGUGUACCGAUUUUAGCCUGAGAGCGGAAUUCAUCGUGUUGUUAUCACCGAGUUUGUUAUGAAUUAUGCAGGUGGCUGCGUUUUGAGUGUACAUGGCCCCUGCAUUUUUUUGUCAUUUAGCUUGUAGCAAAGUGUAUAAUGGAUUUGGGAAAUGAAUUUUGGUAUUGUUAGA